CCUGCAGAGAGAAAGGCCAUAGUUAGUCAAGAGGCCUAAUGAAAAGUUUUACAGUUAAAAUAGAAAGAAAGAAUGUUCAUUGGCGAUAAAUGCCCAAAAAGCAGUCUCUGCCCUGAGUAGUAAAAUUUAGGUGUACCGUCUGUCGAAAAUGCCAAAAAGGAUACCUCCUUCCAGUUUUCCUCCUAAGCGUUCGAAACACACAUGUAAUUGAGACUGUUGUCCGGAGUUCUGUAUUCUGCUUUCUGAAACUUUCCUAAAGCUUCUGGAGGACCACCGAUGUGGGUGGGCAAGCCACAGACAAAAGUGCCUCAAAAUGUCAGUUAAGUGAGACUGAGCCAAAGACAGGAAACCAUUAACUUAAAACACAGCCAACCCUUCAAUAACAAACCUCAAGACGCUUUCCCAUCCUGCAGUUGAGGAUGGCAUUACCCACGGUGCCACAGAACACGUAUGGCUGGGAGGACGGGCAGUCGAUGGUGCCGGAGUGUUGCUUGUAGCUUACCGUCGGUUUGGCUUUCACGAUAGGGAGGUUCUUAGUUGUAACCUCCAAAGCUCAACAGACCCCAGCUUCCCUUUCCUUUGAUCUUACCCAAGCUGGGGCACCAGAUGCAGGAGAAAAGCUAAGAGAGGAGACCACUGGCCUCUGAAGGCAAGUGGUGCAGACAGCACUUGUGACUUUUGGGAGAGUCCCAACAGCAUGGAACGCUCCAGAACUAGAGGUCAUGAAACGGUGCGACCUCUGCUUGAGAAACAGCGGGGGGCCUACUGCGCUUCUUCGGGCUCCUGCAGGAGCUCCCCUGGUCACUGCCCUAAAUUUCAAGAUGGGACUUCGUGUCUGUUCAUGUUUUAAAGUAACACCUCUCCUUAUGUUUUCAUGAUGCACGGGGGAUUCUUGGAUUUGCACCCUGCACAGCAGCAAAGAAAGCCAGUUCUGAACCUUUUUAUCAGAAGGAAGGAGCUGGAGAUGAUGUGACCGUUGCGCAUACUUGAAAACCACGAGGGUGGAUCCUGAGGGAGGAGUUCAUCUUUCCCAAGAACUUUCUAAUUCUCCGGAAUUCCUGUUUCCUACAAUUACUGAGCACCUAUGCUGUGAAAAUCCUCGUGCUAAAUUCCACACCCGAAAAAAAAAAUAUAUAUGGUCCCUGUUUUCAACAGUCUACGGAGGCACAGAAGCAGCUGUGUAGCACAAGGACCAGCAAACUUUUCUGUAAAGGCCAGA
Molecule: long non-coding RNA, 1219 nt
Organism: Neofelis nebulosa (Clouded leopard)
Lineage: Eukaryota; Metazoa; Chordata; Mammalia; Carnivora; Felidae
Exons: 2
Source: RefSeq, a predicted model, not a curated record